UCAAACACAGCUGGUCGUCAUGUCAAGUCAAUGUCAAUUCAAUUGUCAAAAUGAUUUGUGGUUUGUAAUUUGUAUUUUGCGGGUUUCUAAGUUUAUAAAUAUAAUUGUUAAAUAAUUACCUCUUCUUGCUUUAUUUGUUUGUUGCUUAACAUUUAAAUAUAAUCACGCCAUUAGAUCAUUGAGUUCGAAUUCAGCGCAAAUCAUUAAUAAUAAUCUAAAACAAUGUUGAAAGGACUGGUGAGUACGUUAAUCAUUUUUGGAACUGGUAUCUACACUGGUGUAUACAUAGCACAAAAUUAUCAGACUGCAGUUGAUUGGUAUUGCAAGAAAACAUCUGAUGCCUGUAGCAAGGAUAAGAAAAAAUAAGAACUUUUCUGUAUAUGCAAUGCAAAAAAAUUAUUUGAACCAAGAAUACAAAUACAUGGCUUCACAAAAAUGAUAAUCAUGAUGAUUGUGUAGAUAGAAAAGGUAGAAGAUCCCAAAGCACUAUUCGAAAAGGCUCAGUGUUAUAUUAGAACAAAAAUGGAAGAAAUGAGCAAGAAGGGCAAAGAUUGAAACAGCUACAUGUACAUCUAUGAAUUUAUUUUUCUGUAAAUAACAUUUACUAUUAAAUAUGAUUUUAAAAUAAAUAAAGAUAGCAGUAUACAUAAA
Molecule: RNA transcript, 651 nt
Organism: Bicyclus anynana (squinting bush brown)
Lineage: Eukaryota; Metazoa; Arthropoda; Insecta; Lepidoptera; Nymphalidae
Exons: 4
Source: RefSeq, a predicted model, not a curated record